AUUGUGACAUAUCUCUGGAACCAGAACCUUAGUGAUGUGACGCUUCUCUCCUGCUGAAGCCAUGCCCACACAAGGGAAAGUGACUUAUCACUGGGCCCAGCACACAGGUCUUUUCCCACAGGGAGCAUUGUGAAACAUCACUGGGCUCAGCCACCAGGUUAUGUGACUCUUCUGCCUGUGCCCUGCUUCCAGAAAAUAUUGUGACAUUCCUCAUACAGCAUCCAGGUGAUGUGACUCUUCUGCUCAUUUUCUACUUACAGGAGACAUGCCCAAAAAAGGGAUUGUGGCAUAUCUCUGAGCCCAGCACCCAAAUGUUGUGACUCUCCUGCCUGAGCUGUGCCUAGAGAAAAUAUUAUAAUAUGUCACCGGACCCUGCAUGCAAGUGAUCCAAUUCUCCAGUCUGGGCCUUGCCCAUAGAGGAGAUUGAGACAUAUUCCAGGUCAUGCAAAUGGAGGCGGAUUUUGACAUAUCAUAAAGCCAACAUAAUACACAGUCUGCAGGUGGAAUUGGGACUCUCAUGCAUGGAUCCAGUUCAUCAUUGAUACUGUGACUCAUGUACUUGGAUGCAACUCACAGGAGGUGUUGACGCUUUUUACCUGAAGCUGGGACAUGUGUGGAAUUGUGAAUCCUAGCCCUAGAUCUUCCCACAGGUCAUGCAAAUGGAGGGGGAUUGUUACAUAUCAUAGGGCCAACACAAAAAUAAUGUAAAACUCCUGCCUGAGCCAUGCCCAUAGAAGGCAUUGUGACAUAUCACCCGUCACAGCACUCAGGUGGGAUUUUGACAUAUAACUGCACCCAGCACACAGGUGAAGUAUCUCGUAUGCUCAUCCUGCCAAAAGUUAUGAGUGUCACCCUCACACAUGGACAGAGACCUCUGGUUAGGUCUUGAAUCUUGUACAUGGACACAGUCCGCAGUUGGAAUGUCAUAUGUAGAUCCAGCCACAGGUGUGAUGUUGACCUAUUUAUAAAGUUAGCUCACAGGCACAUUGAUAACUCUCAUACCUGGAUCCAGCCAAUAAAAGAUAUGUUGACUAUUA
RNAcentral lists this long non-coding RNA (1037 nucleotides) under Homo sapiens (human). RNAcentral describes it as "long intergenic non-protein coding RNA 1859". Lineage: Eukaryota; Metazoa; Chordata; Mammalia; Primates; Hominidae. The record is from RNAcentral.